Molecule: transfer RNA, 72 nt
Filed under: Plutella xylostella (diamondback moth)
Lineage: Eukaryota; Metazoa; Arthropoda; Insecta; Lepidoptera; Plutellidae
Description: tRNA-Ser
Source: RNAcentral
GUCGUGGUUAGCCGGCGAUAAUGAACCUGCUUCCGAAGCUUGGGGCCGCGGGUUCGAAUCCCGCCCCGGACA